Molecule: long non-coding RNA, 77 nt
Organism: Etheostoma cragini (Arkansas darter)
Lineage: Eukaryota; Metazoa; Chordata; Actinopteri; Perciformes; Percidae
Exons: 3
Source: RefSeq, a predicted model, not a curated record
ACAAAACAAUUUCAUACACACAUGUAUCAGGUGCCUAUAGCACUGUGUGGAUCAAUGCAAAGUUAAUAUGACAGCAA